This is a long non-coding RNA of Saccostrea cuccullata (small rock oyster), 778 nucleotides long. RefSeq lists it as uncharacterized. The transcript is spliced from 3 exons. NCBI's taxonomy places the organism in Eukaryota, Metazoa, Mollusca, Bivalvia, Ostreida, Ostreidae. The record is from RefSeq and is a predicted model, not a curated record.
AAUUUGACCUUGGCUUCCAUGUUGUAACGUCUGCAUGUUUUGAAGAGGAGGUUUGUUGACCAGGAAGCAUGAGAUCGUAUUGCUGUAUCAACCAAUAGAUGCAGAUACACGUAUUUCAUAUACACGUCUGUCUGUGCAAAAGGAGGAGAUUUUCUGAAAAAGAAUAAGUGGUUAUUCAACUAACUGCGAUUUUCACAGGCUUAAAGCUGGUCCAUGGAUGGUUAUGUAUGAGGAUUUGCCAAUUCGACCGCAAGUGCUGCUGCAAGAAAUUAACCAUGCAUUGACCUUACAAAUUACAAAGAAGUCUGAAGAAAAAUUUUAUUGGACAGAUGGGUGUAAAGCACAGACCUGAGAUAUAAAUUGAAUAUUGUGAGAAAUAUGAAUCAGGAAUGCAGGUAGAAAAUGGCAAAUGUGAUCCAGAUUGAUAAAAAAUGUCUAUAAAAUUGCUUCUUUUUUUUUUGGUAAAUAUUCAAUGCUAGCUAUGUCAAUUGUUAUUUUUUCCCCCAAUAUCUAAAAGUGUUGAACUUUUCACUACCACUUUUGCUUUUAUAGAAUGAAUAGAUUUCCAUUUAAUUUAUAUAUAUAAAAAAAUGCCACAUUCUUAUUUUUUUCAUGAUGAAUUUGUGGCUUAAUAAGAGUUCACUCUUUCCAUACAUGCUCCUCUGUUUGUUUGUAAAAGAUAUAAGAUCCAAUACAUUGCUCAUGUCCAUAAUGUGUAAAUUUUUCAUUCAUUUAAAUGUUUUUCUCAUAAUGGUAUAAUAAAUUGUACAUAAUUUUG